AUCUAAGUACCCCGAGGAAAAGAAAUCAACCGAGAUUCCCCCAGUAGCGGCGAGCGAACGGGGAGGAGCCCAGAGCCUGAAUCAGCAUGUGUGUUAGUGGAAGCGUCUGGAAAGGCGCGCGAUACAGGGUGACAGCCCCGUACACAAAAGCGCAUAUGCUGUGAGCUCGAUGAGUAGGGCGGGACACGUGGUAUCCUGUCUGAAUAUGGGGGGACCAUCCUCCAAGGCUAAAUACUCCUGACUGACCGAUAGUGAACCAGUACCGUGAGGGAAAGGCGAAAAGAACCCCGGCGAGGGGAGUGAAACAGAACCUGAAACCGU
Molecule: ribosomal RNA, 321 nt
Filed under: Salmonella enterica
Lineage: Bacteria; Pseudomonadati; Pseudomonadota; Gammaproteobacteria; Enterobacterales; Enterobacteriaceae
Also listed under: 1 other name
Description: partial 23S ribosomal RNA
Rfam family: Bacterial large subunit ribosomal RNA
Source: RNAcentral